UACGGAGGAUGCGAGCGUUAUCCGGAUUUAUUGGGUUUAAAGGGUGCGUAGGCGGUUUUUUAAGUUAGUGGUUAAACGUCGGGGCUUCACCUUGAUUUGCCAUUAAUACUGUAAGACUCGAGUUCAGACGAGGUAGGCGGAAUAAGUUAAGUAGCGGUGAAAUGCGUAGAUAUUAGGAGGAACACCAGUGGCGAAGGCGGCUUACUGGACGACAACUGACGCUGAGGCUCGAAAGCGUGGGGAGCAAACAGG
Molecule: ribosomal RNA, 252 nt
Filed under: uncultured Odoribacter sp.
Lineage: Bacteria; Pseudomonadati; Bacteroidota; Bacteroidia; Bacteroidales; Odoribacteraceae
Description: partial 16S ribosomal RNA
Rfam family: Bacterial small subunit ribosomal RNA
Source: RNAcentral